Talpa occidentalis (Iberian mole) is the source of this 137-nucleotide long non-coding RNA. RefSeq lists it as uncharacterized. The transcript is spliced from 3 exons. Lineage: Eukaryota; Metazoa; Chordata; Mammalia; Eulipotyphla; Talpidae. The record is from RefSeq and is a predicted model, not a curated record.
UAAAAAGCCUUUUACUCUACAAGAGAUUCUCAGGAAACUGGAGGCUAUGAAGUAGAGAUAUGGGGAGUAGGUGACCUAGUUUGCAACCAACCCUGAUGGAAGAAGCUAUUCAUUGGAAAGAGAAGAAAAAUGAACUG